Long non-coding RNA from Homo sapiens (human), 918 nucleotides. The record is from Ensembl. NCBI's taxonomy places the organism in Eukaryota, Metazoa, Chordata, Mammalia, Primates, Hominidae.
GGGGAGGAGAGGAGGCCCUAGGCCUGGACCCCCUUGCACCACUUUGGGUCAGGAGAUACUGGGCCUGGACUGCCUUCCACUGCCGGGCGGGGAUGGGAGGCUCCAGGCGGCCGCGCUUUUUCCAGUCCGCGGUCCCCACCGGCCGGUUCCCCUCUUCCCCCCACUUCGAGGCCUGCAAUUGUCUGCUGUACUGGCUCCCAGUGCUGAAAGCUAUUAUGAGAAAUACCACUGCGAUGAGUCUUCACAUACAAGUGUCAGGUGCACCAUUUGACGGUCCCACCAGCAGCAUGAGAGAGUUCCAGUGUCUCCACAUCCUCGUCAACACUCACUACCUGACUUUUUGGGUCUAGCUCUCCAGGCCAGGAAGCCGAACCAAAUCCACCUCCCUCAGGUGUGCCCGCGGGACCUGUGUGUGUGCAAGUUUCUAUCUUCCAGAAGGUUCCAGUGUCUGCCAUGGCUCUUGGCCUGCCAGGAAGUAUCCUUCUUACUACUUGUGAGGCUGAGGCUUUGUGUGCCAGAGUACAGGUGCCCGGCCAGUAUGGGUCUGAGGGUUGUGUGGGCAUUGGUUCAGCACACAAGCCACAACCCUUGUUCCUUAAAGGUGGGCGUGUUGUGGAAGCACAGGAAAGUUAUUCUCAAAUAUGACACCCAUGUAAGGCCUGGGCUCCACUAUUAAUUUGUCUGAUUAUAUCCUGGUGACAAGGAGGACAAAUUUCUACUGCAACAAUGCAAAUUACUACGUUUUUAUUAAAAGUAAAUGUCAGUAAAACUAUUUUUCCUGAAUUCUGAAGUGAGAAAAACACCAUUUAAAGAACGUUUUAAUGUUUGUGAAAGGAUAGUCUCCUAAAGUAGAUUGUUGCAGAUACCGGGUAAAAAUAAAAAUUAAAUAAAUUAAAGGUGAGAUAGAUCAAAGAAGAA